Molecule: ribosomal RNA, 232 nt
Filed under: uncultured bacterium
Lineage: Bacteria
Description: partial 16S ribosomal RNA
Rfam family: Bacterial small subunit ribosomal RNA
Source: RNAcentral
CGGACGGGUGAGUAAUGUCUGGGAAACUGCCUGAUGGAGGGGGAUAACUACUGGAAACGGUAGCUAAUACCGCAUAACGUCGCAAGACCAAAGCGGGGGACCUCCGGGCCUCGCGCCAUCAGAUGAACCCAUAUGGGAUUAGCUAGUAGGUAAGGUAACGGCUUACCUAGGCGACGAUCCCUAGCUGGUCUGAGAGGAUGAUCAGCCACACUGGGACUGAGACACGGCCCAG